GGUUAAGCGACUAAGCGUACACGGUGGAUGCCCUGGCAGUCAGAGGCGAUGAAGGACGUGCUAAUCUGCGAUAAGCGUCGGUGAGGUGAUAUGAACCGUUAUAACCGGCGAUUUCCGAAUGGGGAAACCCAGUGUGUUUCGACACACUAUCAUUAACUGAAUCCAUAGGUUAAUGAGGCGAACCGGGGGAACUGAAACAUCUAAGUACCCCGAGGAAAAGAAAUCAACCGAGAUUCCCCCAGUAGCGGCGAGCGAACGGGGAGGAGCCCAGAGCCUGAAUCAGUGUGUGUGUUAGUGGAAGCGUCUGGAAAGGCGCGCGAUACAGGGUGACAGCCCCGUACACAAAAAUGCACAUAUUGUGAGCUCGAUGAGUAGGGCGGGACACGUGGUAUCCUGUCUGAAUAUGGGGGGACCAUCCUCCAAGGCUAAAUACUCCUGACUGACCGAUAGUGAACCAGUACCGUGAGGGAAAGGCGAAAAGAACCCCGGCGAGGGGAGUGAAAAAGAACCUGAAACCGUGUACGUACAAGCAGUGGGAGCCUCUUAAUGGGGUGACUGCGUACCUUUUGUAUAAUGGGUCAGCGACUUAUAUUCUGUAGCAAGGUUAACCGAAUAGGGGA
RNAcentral lists this ribosomal RNA (620 nucleotides) under Escherichia coli. RNAcentral's name for it is "partial 23S ribosomal RNA". It matches the Rfam family "Bacterial large subunit ribosomal RNA", at positions 1 to 664 of the family's 2925-position model. Lineage: Bacteria; Pseudomonadati; Pseudomonadota; Gammaproteobacteria; Enterobacterales; Enterobacteriaceae. The record is from RNAcentral.